AUACGUAGGGGGCUAGCGUUAUCCGGAUUUACUGGGUGUAAAGGGAGCGUAGGCGGCAAGGCAAGUCUGAUGUGAAAACCCGGGGCUCAACCCCCGGGGACUGCAUUGGAAACUGCUUAGCUAGAGUGUCGGAGAGGUAAGUGGAAUUCCUAGUGUAGCGGUGAAAUGCGUAGAUAUUAGGAGGAACACCAGUGGCGAAGGCGACUUACUGGACGAUAACUGACGCUGAGGCUCGAAAGCGUGGGGAGC
Molecule: ribosomal RNA, 249 nt
Filed under: uncultured bacterium
Lineage: Bacteria
Description: partial 16S ribosomal RNA
Rfam family: Bacterial small subunit ribosomal RNA
Source: RNAcentral